CAUGCUCUAGUGCUGAACUUGAGGAGCCAGUCUAGGGCCUAGGCGCAGACUCACUGAGCCCAAGCAGCCGGUGAUGGCGGCAGCAGCGGCGGUGGCUGCGGCGGGUCCGGGCCCAUGAGGCGACGACGGAGGCGGGACGGCUUUUACCCAGCGCCGGACUUCCGAGACAGGGAAGCUGAGGACAUGGCAGGAGUGUUUGACAUAGACCUGGACCAGCCAGAGGACGCGGGCUCUGAGGAUGAGCUGGAGGAGGGGGGUCAGUUAAAUGAAAGCAUGGACCAUGGGGGAGUUGGACCAUAUGAACUUGGCAUGGAACAUUGUGAGAAAUUUGAAAUUUCGGAAACUAGUGUGAACAGAGGGCCAGAAAAAAUCAGACCAGAAUGUUUUGAGCUACUUCGGGUACUUGGAAAAGGGGGCUAUGGAAAGGUUUUUCAAGUACGAAAAGUAACAGGAGCAAAUACUGGGAAAAUAUUUGCCAUGAAGGUGCUUAAAAAGGCAAUGAUAGUAAGAAAUGCUAAAGAUACAGCUCAUACAAAAGCAGAACGGAAUAUUCUGGAGGAAGUAAAGCAUCCCUUCAUUGUGGAUUUAAUUUAUGCCUUUCAGACCGGUGGAAAACUCUACCUCAUCCUUGAGUAUCUCAGCGGAGGAGAAUUAUUUAUGCAGUUAGAAAGAGAGGGAAUAUUUAUGGAAGACACAGCCUGCUUUUACUUGGCAGAAAUCUCCAUGGCUUUGGGGCAUUUACAUCAAAAGGGGAUCAUCUACAGAGACCUGAAGCCGGAGAAUAUCAUGCUUAAUCACCAAGGUCAUGUGAAACUAACAGACUUUGGACUAUGCAAAGAAUCUAUUCAUGAUGGAACAGUCACACACACAUUUUGUGGAACAAUAGAAUACAUGGCCCCUGAAAUCUUGAUGAGAAGUGGCCACAAUCGUGCUGUGGAUUGGUGGAGUUUGGGAGCAUUAAUGUAUGACAUGCUGACUGGAGCACCCCCGUUCACUGGGGAGAAUAGAAAGAAAACAAUUGACAAAAUCCUCAAAUGUAAACUCAAUUUGCCUCCCUACCUCACACAAGAAGCCAGAGAUCUGCUUAAAAAGCUGCUGAAAAGAAAUGCUGCUUCUCGGCUUGGAGCUGGCCCUGGGGAUGCUGGAGAAGUUCAAGCUCAUCCAUUCUUCAGGCAUAUUAACUGGGAAGAACUGCUAGCUCGGAAGGUGGAGCCCCCUUUUAAACCUCUGUUGCAAUCUGAAGAGGAUGUGAGUCAGUUUGAUUCAAAGUUUACACGUCAGACACCUGUUGACAGCCCAGAUGACUCAACUCUCAGUGAAAGUGCCAACCAGGUCUUUCUGGGUUUUACAUAUGUGGCUCCAUCUGUACUUGAAAGUGUGAAAGAAAAAUUUUCCUUUGAACCAAAAAUCCGAUCACCUCGAAGAUUUAUUGGCAGCCCACGAACACCUGUCAGUUACUGUACGGCGGUGUGGUUUUUAGUGCCUUUCACUAAACGCUUUCACCGAUGCUCCGACGCCACAGGUGCUAUUUACUCCCUCAAACCUCCCAAGACCAACGUUGGACGGGACAGUCUCUUUUUCCAUAUAUAACGUAGAACCUUCCCACUUUCCUCCAAGCACAAGCAAGAAAGGGGACGAAAAAUUUAAGAAAAGCAAACGCGCACGCAACUCCUCCGGAAUCCCCAGGACCGAGUUUUCCACCCCCGUUCGAGCUCCGAGUGCCUCACUUAUUCCCCCCACCCCCACCCCAGACACCAUUCGCCGCGGCCCCUCGCCUCAGCCCGCUUCCCCCCAGGCCUGACCUCUCAUGACGAUGAGUGAACGGAGGCCCCGGCAGCGACUGCAGCAACAGCGGGAGACCCCGGCUCGAGGCCUUCAGUCAAGGCCAUCACCUUAAAUCCCCACUACCGGCAACUCCGGCCCAGCUCGGUGGCGGCGGCGGAGGCGGCGGCGGCGGCGGCGGCGGCGCGUGCGCUCCCCAGACGUCCUCACGCGCGCGUGCGCUGCCCGCCGCGUGCCCGCCCCCGCGCAACGCGCCGAGGGACGGGCUGCGCCCGGGCGGCCCCGCUGGCGUGAGGCCGCCUGGGGGUGGUGGUUGUUGAGAGGAGGGGGCUGCGCCUGAGGACCGCCUGCAGGCGUCUGCACUAAACAAUAAGCCGCCGUCACCUAAGUGCGUAUAUACGUGUAAUCCGCUACACGCCUCAGAGAUCUGGAUGUUUUGAGGUUAAAAAUGUUCUGGCUUUAGGAACCUGCUCUCGGAGGAGAGGCCUGAUGUUGGGGGUUGUCUUAGGCCGGCCCCGGCUCGUCCCGCAGGAUGCUGGCGCCUGCCCUGUGUAGGCUGCCCACCACCCUGCUUAUAUCCCCGUCUCCUGGGACCCGAGUUAGAGGAGCCACGUCAGCGACCGGCUCGGCGCGUCUCGAGAAGAGUGGGGCGGAGCGAGAACGUUCGGGUUUUCGCGUUGGCGUUUCUCGAGCUUAACCCCCUGACCGAGUCGUGGCUGGGUGGUGAAGUUUUAACUGAAAUGGCUUUUCGUUAUGAUCUUAAAGUUGCACCGUGUGAGCUAGGCCCUGCCGAAACUUGAGGGAGGAGAAGCAAAGAGAAGUCGGAGAGAGAUUUGGUGGCGGUGGAAGUAGAAGUUAAUUUUAAAAACCCUGUCUUGUAUAUAGGGAAUUCUGCUAUCUUAGCUCUAAGUUCUAGAAUGAAGCGUUUAUUAAGAAAAAUCUUAAAACAAAAGGAACAAGGGCGCCUGGAUGGCUCAGUUGGUUGAGCAACUGCCUUCGGCUCAGGUCAUGAUCCUGGAGUCCCGGGAUCGAGUCCCGCAUCGGGCUCCCAGCUUGGCAGGGAGUCUGCUUCUCCCUCUGACGCUCCUGCCUCUCAUGCUAUCAUUCUCUCUCUCUCAAUUAAAAAACAAACAAACAAACAACAACAACAAAUCCAAAAGAAACCCCCCCCCCUUUUAAUCUCCGGCAAAAACAUAUUUUAAAUGAUAACCGUAUUCCAUGAAUCUUCCCUCAUCCCGCACAACCACCAAAGGCCUUUCCAUUCUGAACUACAAGCUUUUUACCUGUAAUUUAUAGAAAUUGACGUCAAGUAAAUAACUCUUAAUAGUCUUCUUACAGUCUUACUUGGCAAGGGGUUUUCUUUCGUUAGAGACAAUAAAUUUGCAUAUAUGUGCUAUGAGUUGACUAGUGGAAUGAGUGAUACUUUGUCUUUUUAUUGGUCAUUACCUGACUUACAACCAUUCACAACUUUGCCCAGGCUUCUUAAUCACGAAGUUGUUUGCACUUUAUUUUCUCCUGUAUCAGUACAGCUGAGUACACCGUUUAACCUCAGUUAUCUGCUUUGGGGCUGUGCUUAAGUCAGAUUAGUUCUUUUUUUAUUUUAAUUUUUUUUAAGAUUUUAUUUAUUAAUUUGACAGAGAGAGACACAGCGAGAGAGGGAACACAAGCAGGGGGAGUGGGAGAAGGAGAAGCAGGCUUCCUGCAGAGCAGGAAGCCCUAUGUAGGGCUCGAUCCCAGCAUCCUGGGAUCAUAAGUCAGGUUUGUUCUAUCACCAAACCAUUUCCCUUGGUUAGAAAAGACACUCUUCCCCCCCCGCCCCCAACUGGUAUUAGAUCUGCUUCACACUGUUGAUUAAGAUAUUUGGCUUUUUAUUUAUUUUUUAGUAUUCAUAGGUCUCCAUGAGCUUAACAUAAGUCUUGCUGACAAAUUAGGUUUCUGGGUUAGUAAGGCUGUCUUAGUCCAUUUGGGCUGCAAAAUUAUAGGCUAGGUAGCUCAUAAACCACAAAUUUAUUUCUCACAGUUCAGGAGCAUAAGAAGUCUAACAUCAAAGUGCUGGCAGAUUUGGUGUCUGCAUAAUCUCCUCCAGUCCCAUCCAUGUUGAUGUAAAUGUUGGGUAUUCAUCUUUCCUGAUGGCUGAGUAAUAUUCCAUUGUAUAUAUGGACCACAUCUGCAUUGGCCACAGCAACUUCUUUCAAGAUACAUCUCCAAAGGCAAGUGAAACAAAAGCAAAAAUGAACUUUUGGGACUUCAUCAAGAUAAAAAGCUUUUGCACAGCAAAGGAAACAGUCAACAAAACAAAGAGGCAACCCACAGAGUGGGAGAAGAUAUUUGCAAAUGACACUACAAAGAGCUGAUAUCCAAGAUCUAUAAAGAACUUCUCCAACUCAACACCCAAAAAACAAAUAAGUCAAAAAAUGGGCAGAAGACAUGAAAAGACACUUCUCAAAAGAAGACAUACAAAUGGCUAACAAACAUAUGAAAAAAUGUUCAUCAUCAUUAAACCAUCAGGGAAAUUCAAAUCAAAACCACAUUGAGAUACCACUCUACACCAGAUAGAAUGGCAAAAAUUGAGAAGGCAAGAAACAACAAAUGUUGGAGAGGUUGUGGAGAAAGGGGAACCCUCUUACACUGUUGGUGGGAAUGCAAGUUGGUACAGCCACUUUGGAAAACAGUAUGGAGUUUCCUCAAAAAUUAAAAGUAGAGCUACUCUAUGACCCAGCAAUUGCACUACUGGGUAUUUAUCCCCAAAACACAGAUGUAGUGAAAAGAAGGGCCAUAUGCACUCCAACGGUCAUAGCAGCAAUGUCCACAAUAGCCAAACUGUGGAAAGAGCCGAGAUGCCCUUCAACAGAUUAAUGGAUAAAGAUUUUACUUUUUUUAGUUUAUUUUUUAUUUAUUUAAGUAAUCUCUGUACCCAACGUGGGGCUUGAACUCACAACCCUGAGAUCAAGAGUCACAUGCUCUGCUGAUGGAGCCAAGCCAUCCAGGUGCCCCUAGACUAUCAUAUGUCUUUUUUUUUUUUUUUUUUAGGAUUUUAUUUAUUUAUUUGACAGAGAGACAUAGGAAGAGAGGGAACACAGGCGGAGGGAGUGGGGGAGGGAAAAGCAGGCUUCCUGUGGAGCAGGGAGCCUAAUGCAGGGCUCGAUCCCAGGGCCCUGGGAUCAUGACCUGAGCCAAAGGCAGACGCCCAACAACUGAGCCACCCAGGUGCCCCUAUCAUAUGUCUUGAUAAAUGCUUCAGGUGCACUUGAAAAUAAUGUGUAUUCUAAUGUUGUUGGGUAGAGAGUUCUACAAAUAUCUUAGAUCAAGUUGGUUGAUAGUGUUGUUCAGGUCUUCUCAAUCUUUGCUGACUUUCUACUUAUUCUAUCCAUAACUUUAAGAAAUAGUGAAGCCUCCAAGUAUAAUUAUGAAUUUGUCUAUUUAUCCUUUCAAGUUUUUGCUUCAUGUAUUUUGAAAAUCUGUUUUUAGGUCCAUACACAAUUACAGUUCUUACGUCUUCUUGGUGAUCUGAUCCUUUUAACAUUGUAUAAUAUCCGUCUUUAUCCAUGGUGAUACAUAGCACCUCCCACUUCUUUUGACUAGUGUUUUAAUGUUAUCUUUUACCAUCCUUUUACUCCUAACCUAUCUAUGGAUUGCUUAUUUAAUUUCAGUUGAAUCUUUGUUUAAAAAAACUCAAUCUGACAAUUUUUGCUUUUAAUUGGUAUGUUUAGAUCAUUUACAUUAGUGUAAUAAUUGAUGUGGUUGGACUUAAGUUACACUUUUAUUGAUUUCUGUUUGUUUCCUCUUUUUUAUUUUUCUCUUUAACCUUUCCUGCCUUUUUUUUUUUGGAUUAUUUGGAUAUUUUUAGUAUUCCAUUAUCUAUUGGGUUUUGGUUAUUUCUCUUUAUAAAGAUAUAAACACUUUCAUUUUCUAAUUUUUAACUGGUAAAAUACACCUAACAUAAAAUUUAUUAUCUUAACUAUUUUUAGGUGUAUAGUUCAGUAUUAUUAAGUAUAUUUACAUUGUUGUGCAACCAUUCUUCAGAACUUUUCCAUCUUGUGAAACUGAAACCCUAUACCUAUUAAGCAAUAAUUCCUUAUUCUCCCUCCUCCCAAGCCUUGGCAAAUACCAUUCUACUUUGUUUCUAUGAAUUUGACUGCUCUAGAUACUGCAUGUAAAUGGAUUUAUACAGUAUUUGUCUUUGUGAUUGACUUAUUUCACUUAGCAUCAUCUCAAAUAUUGUUGUAGCAUGUAUUAGAAUUUACUUCCUUUUUAAGGCUGAAUAAUAUUCUACUUUGUCUAUAUACCACAUUUUGUUUAUCCAUUCAUCUGCUGAUGGACACGUAGUCUAUUGUGAAUAAUCUGCUAUAAAUAUGGGUAUACAGAUACCUCUUUGAGAUUCUGCUUUGUAUUUUGGAUAUAUACCUAGAAGUGGAAUUACUAUAUCAAUUUUUAAUUUUUUGAGGAACUGCCAUAGUGUUUUCCUUAGCAACUGCACUAUUUUACAUUAUCCCCAACAGUGCACAAGGGUUCUAAUUUCUCUACAUCUUCACCACACCUUUUAGUCAGUGUUAUAAAACCGGGACCUGUUGAUGAAGUCCUAAUGGAAGCUACAACUAAGAAUGUAAAGGCCGAUGAAAUUAAGGUGAAAGUUUAGAGGAGAAUUAAUAUGUUUCAAUGGGCUUUAUGUGAAAUGGUUGUAUCUCUUUUACCUGAUUGCAUUAUGGGGAUGAACAUUAUAUCUGAUUGGGGAACAUUUCACCUACCAGAAUUGUUAAAAAGAAGGCAUGUAAAUCUGCCCUUCAAGCAAUGUUAAUUGAACAUGCUAAAUGGGAAUCGAUAAGAUUACGUGAAUCCAAACCAUAUAGAGUAGAAGCUGGAGUGCUGAUAUGGACAAAUUAUUUUUUUUUUAUUUUUAAGAUCUUAUUUAUUUGAGAGAGCGCCCAUGCACUCGCACACAAGCAGGGGGAGCGGCAGAGGGAGAGGAAGAAGCAGGCUCCCUGCUGAUGUGGGGCUCUAUCCCAAGACCCUGGGAUCAUGACCCAAGCUGAAGGCAGAGGCUUAACUGACUGAGCCACCCAGGUACCCCUGGACAAAUUCUUUAUGCAAUAACUGUAUGUGGAACAUACACUGGGCCUUAUCACAAAAGCCUGGGAGCAUCUCCCAGCAUUGACUACUGGGACUUUGGUCUGGAGAAUUCCCAUUUGGGGGGCAAUUACUAGGUUGCUAUCAGACAUUAAUUAAAACUGCCCUUGUGACUGAAGGACGUAAAAUCUUGAAUCCUAAAAUGCCUUUGAUGUCUUGGAUGAUGUUGGAAAAACACUGUAUUGGGGAGGGCAGUGCCCAGAAUAGUUCCAUAAUAAAAUGGAAAUAGUUUACACAGGGUCAUGCUACCUAUGGAAUGCAAGGAUGAUGUACUUACAAUAGGGAGCCUCUUUUCAAACCCUAGGCCUGACUUUGAAAUUUUGAAGAGCCUCCAGAUUCUGUCAUCACUUGGACCAUGUCCUAUGGACAUCUCUCAGCUGACCAACAAAUAUCUCCUUGGUUCAUGGAUGGCAGUUGUAAGGUAAAUGGACAAAAUCCUGUUUGGUAGACCACCACUCUGAUCAGAGAAGGUAAAAAUCAGCUAGGUGGGCUGACUUGCAUACUGUUUUCUUACCAGUGGUGGAAGAACUGGACAAUGAAUGAUAACAAUCCCUAGAUUUCAUUUUUACCAACUCAUGGCCAAUGGCCAAUGAAGGGCAGUGGAAACCUGGCCUAUUAAAGGGGUGCCUAUAUGGGGCACAGCUCUGUGGAAAAUCACUGUGGAAAUUUGAGGGGCACAUUGAGCUAGGAGGUAUCAAUGCCCAUCAGAAAAAAAAAAAAAAAAAACCCUUUAGUGGACUAUUCCUUGCCUGGCACUGGAAUCUCUGAAUACUUAUUUCUUAAACUAGCUAUUUAAUGUCUGUCUCUUCGACUAUACUCAAUGUCAGGAGGGACUAUUUUGGUUUUAUUACUGUAUCCCCAUGACUAAUACAGUUCUUGGCAUAUACUAAUAACCCAAUAAAUAUUUAUUGAAUAUA
Molecule: RNA transcript, 7823 nt
Organism: Mirounga angustirostris (Northern elephant seal)
Lineage: Eukaryota; Metazoa; Chordata; Mammalia; Carnivora; Phocidae
Gene: RPS6KB1
Gene name: ribosomal protein S6 kinase B1
Exons: 16
Source: RefSeq, a predicted model, not a curated record